This 452-nucleotide ribosomal RNA is filed under the name uncultured bacterium. Its description in RNAcentral is "bacterial SSU rRNA". It matches the Rfam family "Bacterial small subunit ribosomal RNA", at positions 28 to 507 of the family's 1533-position model. The record is from RNAcentral.
GAUGAACGCUGGCGGCGUGCCUAACACAUGCAAGUCGAGCGAUCUUCUUCGGAAGAGAGCGGCGGACGGGUGAGUAACGCGUGGGUAACCUGCCCUGUACACACGGAUAACAUACCGAAAGGUAUGCUAAUACGAGAUAAUAUGCUUUUAUCGCAUGGUAGAAGUAUCAAAGCUUUUGUGGUACAGGAUGGACCCGCGUCUGAUUAGCUAGUUGGUAAGGUAACGGCUUACCAAGGCGACGAUCAGUAGCCGACCUGAGAGGGUGAUCGGCCACAUUGGAACUGAGACACGGUCCAAACUCCUACGGGAGGCAGCAGUGGGGAAUAUUGCACAAUGGGGGAAACCCUGAUGCAGCAACGCCGCGUGAGUGAUGACGGUCUUCGGAUUGUAAAGCUCUGUCUUUAGGGACGAUAAUGACGGUACCUAAGGAGGAAGCCACGGCUAACUACGUG